Fukomys damarensis (Damara mole-rat) is the source of this 298-nucleotide long non-coding RNA. RefSeq lists it as uncharacterized. NCBI's taxonomy places the organism in Eukaryota, Metazoa, Chordata, Mammalia, Rodentia, Bathyergidae. The record is from RefSeq and is a predicted model, not a curated record. The transcript is spliced from 3 exons.
GACUUCUCGCGAGAGUCCUCCGGCCGGUCUGAGGUACACAAACACAGCUUUUCUUAUUUGUGACCUUUAACUGGUACUUUCGGCUGGAAGGUGGUCAUGAUUGGAAAAGCAAACUAUGAGCACUGGCUGAUGCAAUGAACUGUUGACUGGAAUCUGACAGUCCACAUGGAACUGAAUCCUGAUGAAUAUAAUGCAGUCAUUCCCAAAACUUUGGAAUUACACUCUCCUGAGAAUCUUUUGGAAAGUUUGCAAACUUGCAAUAGAACUGAUUUCUACACUGGAGGAAAAAUAUCCUCUU